This 248-nucleotide ribosomal RNA is filed under the name uncultured bacterium. Its description in RNAcentral is "partial 16S ribosomal RNA". It matches the Rfam family "Bacterial small subunit ribosomal RNA", at positions 524 to 776 of the family's 1533-position model. The record is from RNAcentral.
UACGAAGGGUGCAAACGUUAUUCGGAAUCACUGGGCGUAAAGGGUGCGUAGACGGCAUGUUAAGUUCGUUGUUAAAGGCUCCGGCCUAACCGGAGUACCGCGAUGAAAACUGGCGUACUAGAGGGUGAGAGAGAGAAGUGGAAUUCCUGGAGUAGCGGUAAAUGCGUGGAUCUCAGGAGGAACACCAAUGGCGAAGGCAGCUCUUGGCUCAUUCUGACGUUGAGGCACGAAGCGUGGGAGCAAACAGG